RNAcentral lists this ribosomal RNA (725 nucleotides) under uncultured bacterium. RNAcentral's name for it is "bacterial SSU rRNA". It matches the Rfam family "Bacterial small subunit ribosomal RNA", at positions 771 to 1501 of the family's 1533-position model. The record is from RNAcentral.
AACAGGAUUAGAUACCCUGGUAGUCCACGCCCUAAACGAUGUCUACUAGUUGUCGGGUUUUAAUUAACUUGGUAACGCAGCUAACGCGUGAAGUAGACCGCCUGGGGAGUACGGUCGCAAGAUUAAAACUCAAAGGAAUUGACGGGGACCCGCACAAGCGGUGGAUGAUGUGGAUUAAUUCGAUGCAACGCGAAAAACCUUACCUACCCUUGACAUGGACGGAAGCCCGGAGAGAUUUGGGCGUGCUCGAAAGAGAGCCGUCACACAGGUGCUGCAUGGCUGUCGUCAGCUCGUGUCGUGAGAUGUUGGGUUAAGUCCCGCAACGAGCGCAACCCUUGUCAUUAGUUGCUACGAAAGAGCACUCUAAUGAGACUGCCGGUGACAAACCGGAGGAAGGUGGGGAUGACGUCAAGUCCUCAUGGCCCUUAUGGGUAGGGCUUCACACGUCAUACAAUGGUACAUACAGAGGGCCGCCAACCCGCGAGGGGGAGCUAAUCCCAGAAAGUGUAUCGUAGUCCGGAUUGUAGUCUGCAACUCGACUACAUGAAGUUGGAAUCGCUAGUAAUCGCGGAUCAGCAUGUCGCGGUGAAUACGUUCCCGGGUCUUGUACACACCGCCCGUCACACCAUGGGAGCGGGUUUUACCAGAAGUAGGUAGCUUAACCGCAAGGAGGGCGCUUACCACGGUAGGAUUCGUGACUGGGGUGAAGUCGUAACAAGGUAACC